UGGGGAAUUUUGGACAAUGGGCGAAAGCCUGAUCCAGCAAUGCCGCGUGUGUGAAGAAGGCCUUCGGGUUGUAAAGCACUUUUGUCCGGAAAGAAAUGGCUCUGGUUAAUACCUGGGGUCGAUGACGGUACCGGAAGAAUAAGGACCGGCUAACUACGUGCCAGCAGCCGCGGUAAUACGUAGGGUCCAAGCGUUAAUCGGAAUUACUGGGCGUAAAGCGUGCGCAGGCGGUUGUGCAAGACCGAUGUGAAAUCCCCGAGCUUAACUUGGGAAUUGCAUUGGUGACUGCACGGCUAGAGUGUGUCAGAGGGGGGUAGAAUUCCACGUGUAGCAGUGAAAUGCGUAGAGAUGUGGAGGAAUACCGAUGGCGAAGGCAGCCCCCUGGAUAACACUGACGCUCAUGCACGAAAGCGUGGGGAGCAAACAGGAUUAGAUACCCUGGUAGUCCACGCCCUAAACGAUGUCAACUAGUUGUUGGGGAUUCAUUUCCUUAGUAACGUAGCUAACGCGUGAAGUUGGACCGCCUGGGGAGUACGGUCGCAAGAUUAAAA
RNAcentral lists this ribosomal RNA (551 nucleotides) under uncultured bacterium. RNAcentral describes it as "partial 16S ribosomal RNA". It matches the Rfam family "Bacterial small subunit ribosomal RNA", at positions 355 to 899 of the family's 1533-position model. The record is from RNAcentral.